GUAACCACAGUGUCGGCAUGCUCCUUCAGAAGGUUCUUGUAUGUUUUAGUUUGGUCUGGAGAAGGGUCUUGGAGAAGGUCCAUAUGGUUCAUGUGGCUGUGAGGAAACACUGACGUGAGCCGUCCGUGGUCAUGUUGUCCAUCUACAGCGAAAGCAUUACUUCCCAGCAGACACUCUGCAGCUGCUCUAAGUGAUUUGUUGCCUUAACUCACCCAAUCUCAACUGCAAGAUUAGCAGGUUGUACUUUCUUAGAAGUAGGCAUCCCAGUGUUUCUGGUCCACCUCCCCCAAACCUUGCUUCUCUGUUAAAUGUCUGCUUCCUCCCUUGUCCUUGAGCCGGGUAGGCAUUUAUGAUCAUGUUGGCAAGCACCAUACAGCAGAAGUGAAGUGAUGCUGAGUGUCUCCGAUGACUUGGUGCCUGUUUUUAAAAUGGAAGAAAGAAGUUGGCCAUCUGUACGAAUGGACAUCUCCAUUGGCCACUCAUUUAACAGUGAACAGCUAGCACCAUGCUUGUAGGAAAAGUUUUGCACUUUUCAAAGAUACUGGCAGAACCAGCAUGAAGACACUUGUACGAUGUGUUGAAGAAAUAUCAUGAUCAUAUCAUAGAAUAAACGACAACACAGAAGCUCCAUAGUGUGCUGUAAGCAAUCAUGGAGCAGCUCUGAUUUGCUCAUACCAUGAAACCAUUGUACAGGCAGGUGUGAGCUUAUGUAUGAAUUUCUUAGGGUGUCUUUUUAUGUGUCAUCCUCAACAUAGCCUAUACAAAGUGAAUCCUCAUAAAAAUAAAAUCCCUCAUAGAGGAAGGGGAGCUAAAUUCUUUGGUGGUGUUGUAUAGCCACUGGUAAGUUGCCCUUGGUCAAAUAAAUGACUCCCACACUCA
Long non-coding RNA from Mastomys coucha (southern multimammate mouse), 879 nucleotides. RefSeq lists it as uncharacterized. NCBI's taxonomy places the organism in Eukaryota, Metazoa, Chordata, Mammalia, Rodentia, Muridae. The record is from RefSeq and is a predicted model, not a curated record. The transcript has 2 exons.